CACGUUCUCUAUGUGUUAUUUAUGUGAGAGUAUAAAUUAGUGUAAGAAAUUAAAAAAAAAAAAAAGAACCCAUUGACACACGUUCUCCCUCACGUUUACAGAAACAGAAGAGCACAUUGAGAUACGGUGCUCCGCGAAACAGCGAACCCAAUCCGCCUUAAACCCUCCCGACCGAAGUCGACGAACAGACAACGAUCCUCCGAUGGAGUUUGAGAUCAAUGAAAGCUAGUUUCUUUUUUUUCUCGAGAAUGGCGCUCGUGAGGAGGCUUCAAACAGAAUCUUCUUCCUUUCCUUUUCGAAGUGGAAAUGAGUUCUCUUGGAUUCAGAGUGGAGAUGAGUUGAGAUUAGGGUGUUGGAGCCUCCAACUUGGAGGAGGGCUAUCAUUCUUCGCUUUGUCACCUUCUGUGAAUCCUUUCUCCAUUGAUUUGACUCUAAUGUAGUGUGCUUUUGAGUAAUGUAAUUGGCAUGUUUCAGUUCCUGACACUCAUGGAUUAAGCGUUUAUUCACGCUUAUAUGAGAGCUACAAAACACAUUUGCUUCAGACUACAACGAUGUUUCAAAAGGAGCGGUUGGAAAACAACAAAAGAGGAUUUUAUACGGGAGCUAAGAAGUGCUUACGCUAUCGCAAAGUUAACAAAGACUGGUUACUCAAAGAAUAAGUUCUACAUUGAAGCACUAAAGUUAUACAAAGAGACUAACAUUAUGAUGGCCAAUGGUGACCAGAAGACAAUAAUGAAAAACUUAACUGAAAGGAUGUUGUUUUCAGCAAGCAUUGAAGAACGAAAUUAGACAAAGAGAAGCCAUGUGGGGUACUGUUUACGGGAAAAUGGUUGAGGCGGUGAUCAAAAUCAAGACUUUACAAGCUAGAUUGAUACAGGACGGACCUCAAUAAAGCUUUCAUACAGCUGACACUUGAGUUUCUGACAAAGCAGAAAUUUGAAGCAUAUGAUUCUAAAGGCAGUGUAGUAGCCGUAGACAAGAAAAAAGAGGUGCUUGUACGUGACAUCUGAGUCUUUGAGAAGUCUCUAUUCCAUACAGGAGCUUGCUGACGACUCUGGCUGGAUUGAACUUCCAACAAAGGAUAAAAUCCAACCUGCCCUCUGAUUUUUUGUUUGCUAGUCAGUAAUCUCUAUACAAAUUGGCUUUCUUCUAUUUUUCUCUUGCAAUGUAAGCCUGAAUGUUAUCUGAUUAGGCCCUAGAGUUGUUAGG
Long non-coding RNA from Brassica napus (rape), 1209 nucleotides. RefSeq lists it as uncharacterized. The transcript has 9 exons. The record is from RefSeq and is a predicted model, not a curated record. NCBI's taxonomy places the organism in Eukaryota, Viridiplantae, Streptophyta, Magnoliopsida, Brassicales, Brassicaceae.